GGGCGAUUAGCUCAGUUGGCUAGAGCGUCUCGUUUACACCGAGAAUGUCGGGGGUUCGAGUCCCUCAUCGCCCAUCA
RNAcentral lists this transfer RNA (77 nucleotides) under Rhodopirellula baltica SH 1. RNAcentral's name for it is "Val tRNA". It matches the Rfam family "tRNA". From Rfam's summary of the family: Transfer RNA (tRNA) molecules are approximately 80 nucleotides in length. Their secondary structure includes four short double-helical elements and three loops (D, anti-codon, and T loops). RNAcentral also lists the same sequence under 6 other names. The record is from RNAcentral. Lineage: Bacteria; Pseudomonadati; Planctomycetota; Planctomycetia; Pirellulales; Pirellulaceae.